RNAcentral lists this ribosomal RNA (2892 nucleotides) under Pseudomonas syringae pv. syringae. RNAcentral's name for it is "bacterial LSU rRNA". It matches the Rfam family "Bacterial large subunit ribosomal RNA". The record is from RNAcentral. Lineage: Bacteria; Pseudomonadati; Pseudomonadota; Gammaproteobacteria; Pseudomonadales; Pseudomonadaceae.
UCAAGUGAAGAAGCGCAUACGGUGGAUGCCUUGGCAGUCAGAGGCGAUGAAAGACGUGGUAGCCUGCGAAAAGCUUCGGGGAGUCGGCAAACAGACUGUGAUCCGGAGAUAUCUGAAUGGGGGAACCCAGCCAUCAUAAGAUGGUUAUCUUGUACUGAAUACAUAGGUGCAAGAGGCGAACCAGGGGAACUGAAACAUCUAAGUACCCUGAGGAAAAAAAAUCAACCGAGAUUCCCUUAGUAGUGGCGAGCGAACGGGGACCAGCCCUUAAGUUGUAUUGAGAUUAGCGGAACGUUCUGGAAAGGACGGCCAUAGUGGGUGAUAGCCCUGUACGCGAAAAUCCCUUUGCAAUGAAAUCGAGUAGGACGGGGCACGAGAAACCUUGUCUGAAUAUGGGGGGACCAUCCUCCAAGGCUAAAUACUACUGACUGACCGAUAGUGAACCAGUACCGUGAGGGAAAGGCGAAAAGAACCGCGGAGAGCGGAGUGAAAUAGAUCCUGAAACCGUAUGCGUACAAGCAGUGGGAGCCCACUUUGUUGGGUGACUGCGUACCUUUUGUAUAAUGGGUCAGCGACUUAUUUUCAGUGGCGAGCUUAACCGAAUAGGGGAGGCGUAGCGAAAGCGAGUCUUAAUAGGGCGUCUAGUCGCUGGGAAUAGACCCGAAACCGGGCGAUCUAUCCAUGGGCAGGUUGAAGGUUGGGUAACACUAACUGGAGGACCGAACCGACUACCGUUGAAAAGUUAGCGGAUGACCUGUGGAUCGGAGUGAAAGGCUAAUCAAGCUCGGAGAUAGCUGGUUCUCCUCGAAAGCUAUUUAGGUAGCGCCUCAUGUAUCACUGUAGGGGGUAGAGCACUGUUUCGGCUAGGGGGUCAUCCCGACUUACCAAACUGAUGCAAACUCCGAAUACCUACAAGUGCCGAGCAUGGGAGACACACGGCGGGUGCUAACGUCCGUCGUGAAAAGGGAAACAACCCAGACCGUCAGCUAAGGUCCCAAAGUCAUGGUUAAGUGGGAAACGAUGUGGGAAGGCUUAGACAGCUAGGAGGUUGGCUUAGAAGCAGCCACCCUUUAAAGAAAGCGUAAUAGCUCACUAGUCGAGUCGGCCUGCGCGGAAGAUGUAACGGGGCUCAAACCAUGCACCGAAGCUACGGGUAUCAUCUUUUGAUGAUGCGGUAGAGGAGCGUUCUGUAAGCCUGUGAAGGUGAGUUGAGAAGCUUGCUGGAGGUAUCAGAAGUGCGAAUGCUGACAUGAGUAACGACAAUGGGUGUGAAAAACACCCACGCCGAAAGACCAAGGUUUCCUGCGCAACGUUAAUCGACGCAGGGUUAGUCGGUCCCUAAGGCGAGGCUGAAAAGCGUAGUCGAUGGAAAACAGGUUAAUAUUCCUGUACUUCUGGUUAUUGCGAUGGAGGGACGGAGAAGGCUAGGCCAGCCUGGCGUUGGUUGUCCAGGUUUAAGGUGGUAGGCUGAGAUCUUAGGUAAAUCCGGGAUCUUAAGGCCGAGAGCUGAUGACGAGUGUUCUUUUAGAACACGAAGUGGUUGAUGCCAUGCUUCCAAGAAAAGCUUCUAAGCUUCAGGUAACCAGGAACCGUACCCCAAACCGACACAGGUGGUUGGGUAGAGAAUACCAAGGCGCUUGAGAGAACUCGGGUGAAGGAACUAGGCAAAAUGGCACCGUAACUUCGGGAGAAGGUGCGCCGGUGGAGGUGAAGCAUUUACUGCGUAAGCCCCUGCCGGUCGAAGAUACCAGGCCGCUGCGACUGUUUAUUAAAAACACAGCACUCUGCAAACACGAAAGUGGACGUAUAGGGUGUGACGCCUGCCCGGUGCCGGAAGGUUAAUUGAUGGGGUUAGCGCAAGCGAAGCUCUUGAUCGAAGCCCCGGUAAACGGCGGCCGUAACUAUAACGGUCCUAAGGUAGCGAAAUUCCUUGUCGGGUAAGUUCCGACCUGCACGAAUGGCGUAACGAUGGCGGCGCUGUCUCCACCCGAGACUCAGUGAAAUUGAAAUCGCUGUGAAGAUGCAGUGUAUCCGCGGCUAGACGGAAAGACCCCGUGAACCUUUACUAUAGCUUUGCACUGGACUUUGAAUUUGCCUGUGUAGGAUAGGUGGGAGGCUUUGAAGCGUGGACGCCAGUCUGCGUGGAGCCAACCUUGAAAUACCACCCUGGCAACUUUGAGGUUCUAACUCAGGUCCGUUAUCCGGAUCGAGGACAGUGUAUGGUGGGUAGUUUGACUGGGGCGGUCUCCUCCUAAAGAGUAACGGAGGAGUACGAAGGUGCGCUCAGACCGGUCGGAAAUCGGUCGUAGAGUAUAAAGGCAAAAGCGCGCUUGACUGCGAGACAGACACGUCGAGCAGGUACGAAAGUAGGUCUUAGUGAUCCGGUGGUUCUGUAUGGAAGGGCCAUCGCUCAACGGAUAAAAGGUACUCCGGGGAUAACAGGCUGAUACCGCCCAAGAGUUCAUAUCGACGGCGGUGUUUGGCACCUCGAUGUCGGCUCAUCACAUCCUGGGGCUGAAGCCGGUCCCAAGGGUAUGGCUGUUCGCCAUUUAAAGUGGUACGCGAGCUGGGUUUAGAACGUCGUGAGACAGUUCGGUCCCUAUCUGCCGUGGACGUUUGAGAUUUGAGAGGGGCUGCUCCUAGUACGAGAGGACCGGAGUGGACGAACCUCUGGUGUUCCGGUUGUCACGCCAGUGGCAUUGCCGGGUAGCUAUGUUCGGAAAAGAUAACCGCUGAAAGCAUCUAAGCGGGAAACUUGCCUCAAGAUGAGAUCUCACUGGAACCUUGAGUUCCCUGAAGGGCCGUCGAAGACUACGACGUUGAUAGGUUGGGUGUGUAAGCGCUGUGAGGCGUUGAGCUAACCAAUACUAAUUGCCCGUGAGGCUUGACCAU